UACGUAGGUGGCAAGCGUUAUCCGGAUUUAUUGGGCGUAAAGGGAACGCAGGCAGUCUUUUAAGUCUGAUGUGAAAGCCUUCGGCUUAACCGGAGUAGUGCAUUGGAAACUGGGAGACUUGAGUGCAGAAGAGGAGAGUGGAACUCCAUGUGUAGCGGUGAAAUGCGUAGAUAUAUGGAAGAACACCAGUGGCGAAAGCGGCUUUCUGGUCUGUAACUGACGCUGAGGUUCGAAAGCGUGGGUAGCAAACAGG
This 253-nucleotide ribosomal RNA is filed under the name uncultured bacterium. Its description in RNAcentral is "partial 16S ribosomal RNA". It matches the Rfam family "Bacterial small subunit ribosomal RNA", at positions 524 to 776 of the family's 1533-position model. The record is from RNAcentral.